RNAcentral lists this transfer RNA (67 nucleotides) under Phasianella australis. RNAcentral describes it as "tRNA-Ser". Lineage: Eukaryota; Metazoa; Mollusca; Gastropoda; Trochida; Phasianellidae. The record is from RNAcentral.
GAUUACUCAUCCGGGAUACGGGCUGUCUUGAAAACAGCCCUCGAAUGUUCAACUCAUUCAGUAAUUU